Molecule: unclassified non-coding RNA, 319 nt
Filed under: Hypocreales sp.
Lineage: Eukaryota; Fungi; Ascomycota; Sordariomycetes; Hypocreales
Description: partial contains 5.8S ribosomal RNA, internal transcribed spacer 2, and large subunit ribosomal RNA
Rfam family: 5.8S ribosomal RNA (bases 1-71)
Source: RNAcentral
GUGAGUCAUCGAAUCUUUGAACGCACAUUGCGCCCGCCAGUAUUCUGGCGGGCAUGCCUGUUCGAGCGUCAUUUCAACCCUCGAGUCCCCCGUGGACUUGGUGUUGGGGACCGGCGACGCCGCUGUCUUGCAGCGGAAGUCGCCGCCCCCUAAAUGAAUUGGCGGCCUCGUCGCGGCCCUCCUCUGCGUAGUAGCAUACACCUCGCAACAGGAGCCCGGCGAAUGGCCACUGCCGUAAAACCCCCCAACUUUUUUUCAGAGUUGACCUCGAAUCAGGUAGGAAUACCCGCUGAACUUAAGCAUAUCAAUAAGCGGAGGA